GGACGAACGCUAGCGAUAGGCUUAACACAUGCAAGUCGAGGGGCAGCACGGUGUAGCAAUACACUGGUGGCGACCGGCGUACGGGUGCGUAGCACGUAUGCAACCUACCCGCUAUUGGGGGAUAACCCGGCGAAAGUCGGACUAAUACCCCAUAUUAUUCUUACCGGGCAUCCGGUAGGUCUGAAAGAUUUAUCGAUUGCGGAUGGGCAUGCGGAUGAUUAGCUAGUAGGUGGGGUAACGGCUCACCUAGGCGACGAUCAUUAGGGGUUCUGAGAGGAAGGUCCCCCCACACUGGAACUGAGACACGGUCCAGACUCCUACGGGAGGCAGCAGUGAGGAAUAUUGGUCAAUGGGCGCUAGCCUGAACCAGCCAAGUCGCGUGAAGGAUGACAAGAUCCAUGGUUUGUAAACUUCUUUUGCAGGGGAGUAAAGUGCGACACGUGUGUUGUAUUGCAAGUACCCUGCGAAUAAGCAUCGGCUAACUCCGUGCCAGCCGCUGC
Molecule: ribosomal RNA, 500 nt
Filed under: uncultured bacterium
Lineage: Bacteria
Description: bacterial SSU rRNA
Rfam family: Bacterial small subunit ribosomal RNA
Source: RNAcentral